RNAcentral lists this ribosomal RNA (250 nucleotides) under uncultured bacterium. RNAcentral's name for it is "partial 16S ribosomal RNA". It matches the Rfam family "Bacterial small subunit ribosomal RNA", at positions 524 to 776 of the family's 1533-position model. The record is from RNAcentral.
UACAGAGGGUGCAAGCGUUAAUCGGAAUUACUGGGCGUAAAGCGUGCGUAGACGGUUGCGUAAGUCAGAUGUGAAAGCCCCGGGCUCAACCUGGGAAUUGCAUUUGAGACUGCGUAGCUAGGGUGCGGAAGAGGGAAGCGGAAUUUCCGGUGUAGCGGUGAAAUGCGUAGAUAUCGGAAGGAACACCAGUGGCGAAAGCGGCUUCCUGGUCCAGCACCGACGUUCAGCACGAAGCGUGGGAGCAAACAGG